GACGAACGCUGGCGGCAUGCCUAAUACAUGCAAGUCGAACGCUGAAGCACUCUGCUUGCAGAGUGCGGAUGAGUGGCGAACGGGUGAGUAACACGUGGGAAAUCUGCCUAUAAGAGGGGGAUAACAUUCGGAAACGGAUGCUAAUACCGCAUAUAUUCUUGGACCGCCUGGUCCUUGAAAGAAAGACGGCUUUGCUGUCGCUUAUAGAUGAUCCCGCGGCGUAUUAGUUAGUUGGUGGGGUAAAGGCCUACCAAGACAAUGAUACGUAGCCGACCUGAGAGGGUGAUCGGCCACACUGGGACUGAGACACGGCCCAGACUCCUACGGGAGGCAGCAGUAGGGAAUCUUCCACAAUGGGCGAAAGCCUGAUGGAGCAAUGCCGCGUGAAUGAAGAAGGUCUUCGGAUCGUAAAGUUCUGUUAUUAGAGAAGAACAAGUCAAGGAGUAACUGUCUUGACUUUGACGGUACCUAACCAGAAAGUCACGGCUAACUACGU
RNAcentral lists this ribosomal RNA (496 nucleotides) under uncultured bacterium. RNAcentral describes it as "partial 16S ribosomal RNA". It matches the Rfam family "Bacterial small subunit ribosomal RNA", at positions 28 to 506 of the family's 1533-position model. The record is from RNAcentral.